CAUUUUCUUUUUUGUUCAGAAUAUUUAAUGCAUAAUCUGGUGCUUCAUAAUAUAUAUUUGGUCAUGGGAAAUCACUGCACGUUUCUUUUGGUUUGUUUGUCCUAUUAUUUUAUCAUUGUCUUUUACUGAACUUAUGCUCCCAAUUUGCAUAUAUGUUAGCACCCUCCUCUUCCUUUUGAGUGCAGCAAAGUCAGGAAAGUGGCUGUGUUCCAACAAGAUAGGAAAAUGGAACAAAGUCUUGGGAGUCUUCUCUGUGAGAUUUUGGGAAAUAACACAUCCCACUAUGGUAAAAUAAGAAAUUGAUCCAUCUUGGACCAGGAGGGAUUGUCCUGGUUAUUAGACCAUUUGAAGCCCCACUGCCUACUGCUAUAGGGAGAUAAUUAGAUAUGAAGUUUCAAAAUUUAUUAGUGUUGUCUUGGGUGAUGGAUCUAAGAUCAACUUUUGGCAUGUGUGAUCCAUAGGGAACAGCCUUUUAAGAUAUCUUAUUUGGUUUUGUCUAGUAUCGCAUGUCGUUAGGAUGCAUUGUUUAGUGGGUUACUUGCAACUCCAAAAAAAUGGAAGUAUUUAGUUGGAUAUACUUUUUAAUGGACCUAUACAAAACUUGGAGGUGGAUUUGGUUUUCUCUUUCUUUAAGAUGUUGUACUGUCUCAAAGUGCGGCAAGGUGGCACGGAUCACAAAUGCUAGACUCCAUCCAAAAGACACAAGUUUGAAGUGAAGCCAUAUUAUUGGUUUUUAGACUUACCUACAAGUUUUCUGUUUUCUUACUGUAUUGAGAGAGUAAAAGCCCCUUUAAGAAUAUCAUUUAUUUUUUCACUCCUGAGAUUAGUUGGGACAUUGUUCCUAGACACCCAGUGCCAAUAAAAAAAAAAGAAUAUCAUUUUUUUGUGGAAGACGUUAUUGGAACAUCAUUGUGGUGGAUUACUGUUGUGUUUGUAAGAAGAACGGGGAGUCCAUUGCUCACCCUCUUUAUUGUGAAGUGACAAUAGAUAUAUGGAGUUUGCUCUUGAAGUUGUUUGGUGUUGAUAGGGUCCCUCAAAGGGUAAAAUAGUUGUUGAUGUGUUUUAUGUGAUAUUGCCCUCUAGUGAAAAUUAAACAUUGUACUUGAGCUAUACCUAUUCUUAUUAAUAUAAUUUGUUAUAAAAAAAAAAAAAGAAACAUUGAUGCGAUUACUAUUCUGGUAUAAUAAAUAGAAUGUAAUGAAGUAAGAGGAGCAUAUGGGGUGGGAGCUAGGAAAUGUAUCAGGAACAGAUGGGUAGAUCUUUCCAACAAUUUCAGAAUUGAGGUGGGAAGGGGAACUUGAACCAGAUUCUGGUCCAACAUAUGGUGUGGUGAUAUAGCCUUGAAAAAUGCUUUCCCUUCACUCUAUAGGAUUGCAUUGGACAAGGACGCUUCAGUGGCUGAUAACAUGGUCACUUCCGCUGGUUGGUGAGGUUUACUAGAGCUUUUAUGUUUCACUUUUUGCUUAUUAAAAAAAAAAAAGGUUUACUAGAGCUGUCCAGGAUUGGGAGGUUGGUGACAUUACAGAACUUUACACGGCACUUUACGCACUGAACCUAAAAGCUGAAGGGGAGAACUGGUCGCGUUGGAAGCAUACCGGAAACAACAACUUCUUGGUCAGAUCCUUCUACAAGCUGGCUGGCCUCUCAUGGGAAAAUAUUGACUAUUGAUAAGCUAAGAAAGCGUGGAUUCCUAAUAAUGGAUUGGUGCUUUGUGUGUAAAAUGAAGUGGUCAAGGCUUUAUGGGACGAUAUCUUCUCUAGGCUUGGCAUUGUUGCUUGGGUCAUGCCUAGGAAGGUGGCUGAUUUAUUGUUAUGCUGGAGAGGAAUUCAGGGUAAUCAUCAAAUAGUGGCUGUUUUGGAAGAUGGUGCCUCUAUGUUUAAUGUGGUGUACUUGGAACGAAAGGAAUGGUCGCUGCUUUGACAAUAGGGAACGGUUGUUGGAAGGGUUUAGGGACUUUUUCUACCAUACAUUGUUACUUUGGGCUUCAGCCAUUGUAUUUAAUGGGGCUAGCCUUAAUGACUUUUAUGCUGAUUUUCACAGCAUUUAGCUUGUAAUUAGGUUCACCUUUUGUAUACUUUCUAUGUACCAGUGCUAUGCUUAAUUACGUAAUUAAUAAAAUUUCUUACUUAUAAAAUAAAAAAUAAAAAGAAAGAGAUUGUAAUGCACACUAAUGUUGAGGGGAAAACAGUGACUUUACUUUCCCUCUGUUUUGUAUUGACUUGGAUUAUUUA
Carya illinoinensis is the source of this 2231-nucleotide long non-coding RNA. RefSeq lists it as uncharacterized. The transcript has 2 exons. The record is from RefSeq and is a predicted model, not a curated record. Lineage: Eukaryota; Viridiplantae; Streptophyta; Magnoliopsida; Fagales; Juglandaceae.